GACUGCAGUUUAACUCCCACAUGACAUUGGCUACAGUCUCUUCAAGGCUGAGGACUACCCUGUGGAAUAAGUCCCCACCAUGAGAAGCCAGCUAAGAGUGCCUCCCUGCAAGGCUGCAAGUUGUCCCCUGCUUGCUGAGCCAGACACCCACAGAGAGAUGCAGAGCUGUCCACACCAUGCUCAUUUUCAAUGCUCUAAAGCAUCUCAUCAAAGGCAGGCUAAGCCUUCAACAUUCAACAGUCAGCCUAAGAGUACGGGAAGAGCAGCUCUUCAAAUCCAGGCUAGCCACUGCACACAUCUGUCAGAUGGGGGAACAGACAAGAAUACUGCCUGGCCCCAGCUCAGAGCCACAAGAACUAACAGCAGAGACAAACAAGUGGCUAAUGUAUUGCUGAGACUGCCAGUUUUCCAACCUCCAGGCAUUGUAACACAAGGGCUGUGUCCAUUGAUGACGUAAGUCAGGGCUUUAACAGCCUUCACAUUUCAAAAAAAACAACCCCAAACAUCCCGGCUAACUGUAGUUGCUUAACCAAACCACAAGCAUUCGCAAGUACCCACCACAAUAUACUGUUGGGGCUGUUAAAAAAUAUUUGCAACAGAUUGUAUUCACAAGCUCUUGCACCAUUAAACAGACACUUCUUACCUUAA
This is a long non-coding RNA of Passer domesticus (house sparrow), 648 nucleotides long. RefSeq lists it as uncharacterized. The record is from RefSeq and is a predicted model, not a curated record. Lineage: Eukaryota; Metazoa; Chordata; Aves; Passeriformes; Passeridae. The transcript has 4 exons.